Molecule: ribosomal RNA, 1538 nt
Filed under: metagenome
Description: bacterial SSU rRNA
Rfam family: Bacterial small subunit ribosomal RNA
Source: RNAcentral
AGAGUUUGAUCCUAGCUCAGAACGAACGCUGGCGGCGUGGAUUAGGCAUGCAAGUCGAACGGAAGCUUGUGAGAUUAAGUCUUCGGACAAGAUUUUGCAGGCAAGAGUGGCGAAAGGGUGAGUAACACGUGGGUAAUCUGCCCUUAAGUUUGGGAUAGCUUCCUGAAAAGGAAGGUAAUACCGGAUGUGGAUAUCUGUCAUACGGCGGAAUAUCUAAAGGUGGGGAUCUGAAAGGACCUGCCGCUUAUGGAUGAGCCCGCGCCCCAUCAGCUAGUUGGUAGGGUAAUGGCCUACCAAGGCUUACGGGUAGCUGGUCUGAGAGGAUGGUCAGCCACACUGGGACUGAGACACUGCCCAGACUCCUACGGGAGGCUGCAGUCGAGAAUCAUUCGCAAUGCGCGAAAGCGUGACGAUGCGACGCCGCGUGCAGGAUGAAGGCUUUCGGGUUGUAAACUGCUGUUAUGGAAGAACAAUAUUCACAGUGCUAAUACCAUUGUGAAGUGAUAGUAUUCUAAGAGGAGGCCACGGCUAACUCUGUGCCAGCAGCCGCGGUAAUACAGAGGUGGCGAGCGUUGUUCGGAUUUACUGGGCAUAAAGGGUGCGUAGGCGGUUUCGUGUGUCGGGUGUGAAAGCCCGCCGUUCAUCGGCGGAAGUGCAUUCGAAACUACGAGGCUAGAGUACAGGAGAGGAGAGCGGAAUUCUUGGUGUAGCGGUGAAAUGCGUAGAUAUCAAGAGGAACACCGGUGGCGAAGGCGGCUCUCUGGAAUGAUACUGACGCUGAGGCACGAAGGCUGGGGGAGCAAACAGGAUUAGAUACCCUGGUAGUCCCAGCAGUAAACGGUGUGCACUUGAUGUGGGCAGGUUUGUCCCUGUCCGUGUCGGAGCUAAUGCGUUAAGUGCACCGCCUGAGUAGUACGGUCGCAAGGCUAAAACUCAAAGGAAUUGACGGGGGCCCGCACAAGCGGUGGAGCAUGUGGCUUAAUUCGAUGCAACGCGAAGAACCUUACCAGGGCUUGACAUAUAACUGCAAGUCUUCUGAAAGGGAGAUUCCUUCGAGGGUGUUAUACAGGUGCUGCAUGGCUGUCGUCAGCUCGUGCCGUGAGGUGUUGGGUUAAGUCCCGCAACGAGCGCAACCCUUGUGAUUAGUUGCUACUUCUAUAGAAAUAUAGGAGGCACUCUAAUCAGACUGCCUGUGAUAAGCAGGAGGAAGGUGGGGAUGACGUCAAGUCAGUAUGGUCCUUAUGUCCUGGGCUGCACACGUGCUACAAUGGAUGGUACAGAAGGAAGCAAGACCGCGAGGUGGAGCAAAUCCCUAAAACCAUCCCAAGUUCGGAUUGAAGUCUGCAACUCGACCUCAUGAAGUUGGAAUCGCUAGUAAAGGCGCAUCAGCUACGGCGCUUUGAAUACGUUCCCGGGCCUUGUACACACCGCCCGUCACAUCAUGAAAGCCGAUUGUACCCGAAGCCGCUGUUCUAACUCGCAAGAGGGGAAGGCGCCGAAGGUAUGGUUGGUGAUUGGGAUGAAGUCGUAACAAGGUA